RNAcentral lists this long non-coding RNA (543 nucleotides) under Homo sapiens (human). RNAcentral describes it as "HSALNT0208823". Lineage: Eukaryota; Metazoa; Chordata; Mammalia; Primates; Hominidae. The record is from RNAcentral.
AGACUCCGUGGGCGUAGGACCCUCCGCGCCAGGUGCGGGAUAUAAUCUUGUGGCGCGCCGUUUUUUAAGCCGGUCUGAAAAGCGCAAUAUUUGGGUGGGAGUGACCCAAUUUUCCAGGUGCGUCCGUCACCCCUUUCUUUGACUGGGAAAGGGAACUCCCCGACCCCUUGUGCUUCCCAAGUGAGGCAAUGCCUCGCCCUGCUUAGGCUCGCGCACGGUGCGCGCACCCACUGACCUGCGCCCACUGUCUGGCGCUCCCUAGUGAGAUGAACCCAGUACAUCAGAUGGAAAUGCAGAAAUCACCCGUCUUCUGCAUCACUCACGCUGGGAGCUGUAGACCGGAGCUGUUCCUAUUCGGCCAUCUUGGCUCCUCCCAACCUGCAUAAGACCAGCAUUAUAGGCACGAGGAGAUAAACGAGAAGAGGUAGAAGCAAAGCCUCUAUCAAGAAAGCAACAUUUUCUGGAAAUCACUCAGAUCCUAGUUGGAUGUUUUCUGAUUACUCAUCCUUGAAAAAGGCAUACUGAUAAAACUGUUGAUGUCAG